GCAUCGGUAGCUCAGCGGCAGAGCGGUGGGGCGUUAGGGUCAACGCAUGCAUGGGUAUGCAGCCCGGGUUCGAGCCCCGGUUGAUGCG
Non-coding RNA from Phthorimaea operculella (potato tuberworm), 88 nucleotides. The record is from the annotation of a GenBank genome assembly. Lineage: Eukaryota; Metazoa; Arthropoda; Insecta; Lepidoptera; Gelechiidae.